This 5153-nucleotide long non-coding RNA is filed under the name Setaria viridis. Its description in RNAcentral is "long non-coding RNA (SVIR_LNC002332)". The record is from RNAcentral. Lineage: Eukaryota; Viridiplantae; Streptophyta; Magnoliopsida; Poales; Poaceae.
UUCAAAUUCAGUUCUUUCAUAUUCUUUUGUUUAUUAUGAUAGGAAAAACAUAAUAUCCUACAGCUGUUGAGAUUUCUAACAUAACCGAAAAUAAAAUUGAAAAUUAAGAGAAUGGCUUCCAAACCACAAAUGGUGAUGGAGCCUUAAGCAAUACUAUCUAUCUUGGGCAGUGUUUCCAAACAUCAUAAAAAGGUUAUCGUCCCUCUAUAUUUGUGAGAGUAAGGGAAUUCAUGGAAUUUUCAGUUCUGUCCCUAAUUUGCUCCAGAUCACUGCUCCUCUGUCCAUAGUGCCCAGGGUUGUUGGGUGCUGGCAGUGUGGUGCUUCCAUUCUCUAGAGUGAACACAACAGAUGACAUAAGUGGUCUAUCAUCUGGGUUUUCUUGAACGCACAAGAGUCCCACAUGACUGCAAAGCGAAACUUCAUCUAGCAAACAAGCAUCCGUAAUGGAUUGGUCUGCUAAAUCUCUCGUCUUCCCCUCCUUCCACAUGUUCCAAGCCUGAAACAAUCAAAACAAUUAUUUGGAUUUAUGGUAAGCGAGAACCUGAAGACUCUGAUUUUAAUCAGUUACAGCUCCAUAAAAGGCAUAUACUCACAUAGACUAUUAGGUUCGGAGAACCUAUAAUGCUACUAACAGAACUUCUCUUUAUACCAGUAACAAUCUCUAAGAGUAGAACACCAAAGCUAUAGACAUCGGACUUGAUGGAGAAGACGCCUUCCAUUGCAUACUCCGGAGCCAUAUAGCCACUGUUUGACCAUUUCACGUGCAGAUAUUAUUGAAUGAAAGCUGGAUUUAGUUAUGCUUUGUUUGAAAAAAAAUUAUAAAUAGUUACUCACUAUGUCCCAACAACACGAUGUGUGUUUGCAUCUUUCUGGUUAUCAUUGAAUAUCCUUGCCAUGCCAAAGUCUGCUAUCUUUGGUCUCAUGUCUGCAUCUAGCAAAACAUUAGCGGCUUUGAGAUCUCUAUGAAUUAUGGUCAAUCUUGAAUCUUGGUGGAGAUAGAGAAGUCCUCUUGCAACCCCUUUGAUUAUAUUGAAUCGUGUAGGCCAAUCCAACAUCUUCCUCGAAUUAUCUGCAUUGAAGAGAUUCAAGGUAACACAAUUUUUGGCUUUUAUGUGCUAUUUAUAAGAAUUUAUGGCGUGUCACAUACCAAAGAGGGUAGCAUCUAAGCUUCCAUUAGCCAAGUAUUCAUAAAUAAGGAUUUUCUCAUCAGCCUCAACACUGCAACCAAGAAGUCGAACCAAAUUUCUAUGUUGCAAUUUAGCAAUUAGAAUUACUUCAUUGCUAAAUUCCUUUGUUCCUUGCUCAGAAUCCUUGCUUAACCUUUUGAUGGCAACUUCUUUACCACCAAGCAUCGCCUUCAGGAAAAGUAAAGAGAAAAAUUAGAUUUGAGUUUAUCACACAGACAACUCAAUGUAAUUGGAGCACAUUAUUAUAAUUAACAAAAAUCAAUGUAAUUACAUGACCAGAACUAAUAAGAGGAAAUCACUGUCGAAUUAAGUAAUUACCUUAUAAACUUUGCCGAAACCCCCCUGCCCGAUCUUACAUGCCUCUGAGAAAUUGCGUGUUGCAGUCACAAUAUCCUCAAAUCUGACAGAGAGGAAUUCAAAGUCUUGGGCAAGGUUUCGUUCCCCAAGUUCAUCGGAUGUACUCAUGUCAUCCAAAGUUAGCUUCUUAUGCCUCGACCAAUGACUUAAUUUACCUGUUUUCUAAAUUCCAUAAGCAAUUGCUCCUUCGAAUAAUGAGAUAUAGACAAUGCAACUAUGUUGAGUUCUACCUUUGAACUUGAACCAUGCUAGGUAAAUGGCUGCGAGGAUCAAAAGGACACUUAUUAAAACUGCAGGGAGCACUGUCUUCAGUGUAUUGCUCUUCGCCCUCAUCGUGCCUGUGCUUUACAAGUUAGUGCAAAGUUUUAUGCUUUGCAAAUAGCACAACUGAUGAAAGCCUAAGGCCUAUUUUCCUUGCCACCAAAAAAAGAAGAAAUGGAGCAAAUUACAACAAUAACAACCAACAAGAAACACACGUUUUUUGGAAUCCACGAAUUUCACAUGGAAUCUUUUGAUUGUGUUUAAAACAAGAGGGGUUUUUGGCGGGCACACCUCGAAUACGCUUAGCGCUGAACAUUGAGCCUAUGUAUGCUUUGCUUCGUUUGGAAUAAAGCGGGGCAGACCAUUUCUCUAAAAAAACGAGAGGAGUUUCUAGGCUUCCAAAUGGGUUUUCAAAAUUUCGUCAAUGCUAGAUAAGAAGAUAAAGUCUGUGGCACACCUGCAUCGAAGCCUGCAAUCCGGAGGUACAGCGUGUCAGUGCCAUCCCCGUUACCUAUCUUCUCCGUGUCAAUCAGAUCGCCGGCCCACACCAAGCACCUCGUCACAUCCCCGUUCGUUCUGCUGGUGCUCAGAUUGGCAUAAGCAUAGGCCACGCACGAACAGUUCCUGGUGCACUCCGCUGCGCACUCCUGGAAUGUUCGAUUCUGGACGAGCACGAACUUGUCCGGCGAUUUCAUCCCCGGCAAGGCCAAGAAACCGUCACCGCACCGCAGCGCCUCCUUUCGCCGGCACCCCUGUGAGAACCUGCCGCCCUUCCAAUCUUCUAAGCUCGCCGGCUCAAAACCGUCGAGGCACUUGCACGUCGCGGGAAGCUCUAUGUAGUCGCAGUAGCCGUUCGGGCCACAGUAGCUGUAGCGGCUGCACUCGCCGGCACCGCGCGUCCAAUCCCAGAGGAAGGUCCAUGCGGACGAGCUGCUGUUCCAGGUUUGGAGCUGGAACUCACCGGAGUGCGUGAGCACAUGCCUGGUGUACGCGGCGCCGGCGGAGAGGCUGAAGGUCAUGUAGAUCUCCUCCUGGGUGUUGACGAUGGUGAGGUAGACGAUGACGCUGGUGAUCGCCCGGUACUUGACGGCGACGAAGUAGCCCGUCCAUGGUCCGCUGCGCCAGAUCGGACGCGUGGCGUUCCAGAGGAAGACCUGGAGGAACGUGUCUGGGUCCACGCCGAAGGAGAAGGAUCCCAGCGAUGGGUCGUCGGGGCCCUUCCACGAGACCAGGCGCUCGCCGGCGCGCGUCUCAUACCUGAUCCGAAUCUUCAUGCCAGGGAGGAACGUGUCGGCCGGGUGGUCGAAGCUCUGCCAUAAGGCGGUGCCGUCGGGAGACCGGAUGACGAGGUUGCCGGUGUUGAGAAGCACCGCGGCAGCGUUGCCGGCCGCCGGAGCUGCACCGGUGACGUCCGUCGUCCACAGAACACGGCCGUCGGAGUCGGACAGGACGAGGUUGUUGGAGGAGUUGGUCAGGGACAGCGCCGGUGGCGAAGAGAAGGUAGCGCCAGCGCUGCUAUUUGUGGCCGGGGUUUCUCUGUUGGCGACCCACACGACGGUGCGCCGGCGGAUGUCGUUGUACCAGAUGCCGAGGUACAGCUUGGCCGGGGUGGAGUUGGUGGGGGAGAAGAAGCCCAAGGCGAAGCUGCCGCCGUCGGAUACGAUGGUGGCGCCAGGGGAGAGCGGCUUGCCGGGGACGAGCCGGUCGUCGGCCGCACACGGUGGCGGCAGCAGCAGCAGCAGGAGGACAGUGGCGUACUUGAUGAUAGCUGGCCAAGCCAUCAAGCUAGCACCUAUCCUUUGCAAUUCUAGCUACUUAGCUGGUUGGUCGUCAUUGAUCAGCAUUCAGCAACGCAACUGGAUGUUUUUACUGGAGAAGGUAUUGCUGCCAUGAGCCUUGGUCUACGGUACACUGGCAAACGAUGUCAACGCAACUGCCUUGUGUUUUCUUAAAACUAACAAAAGAUAAUCACAGCAACGUCAUCUGUUACGCAGGAGAUGAGCGAGACUGAGAAGAGAUGGCAUAUUAUUAGAUGGUUGAAAUGAAGAAACCCCUCUACAGGCUCAGCAACGAAAGUACAGAACAUAAUAAACAGGGCACGGAGUAGAAUAAUAGUGCAAAAGCUUGGAAGUCCGAUGGACCUUUUCAAGGAUCAGAGUUUCAGACACGUAUUGUGGUUGACAUUUCAGCUGUCCACGUCGGCUCUUUGCGGUAGUUAGGAUGCUGUCCUUUCCUUUCUUCUUUUGAAGUGGUAAAUUUUGUUGUAUACUCAGUACAAAAAUUUCUAGUUUCCGUGCGGUUUCAUCCGCCGUUAGUUUCAGGCCGGCGUGAGAUUAAGCACGCACGAUCAUAGUCGCAUUUGGAAGCACGUACGGUUCCUCAUCAAGUGCCAUUGUGAAAUCCAAGAGUUGCUGCUCAUCAGUUAUUUCUUUCUUUCAUGAAUGGUACUCUCAAUGUUAAAUCGUCAAGUACUGUAUUUUAUUUAGUUGACGCAUGACAAGGUAAACAAAUAACCUUUCCGGGUUUUUUUCUUGGAAAAAAAGGGGUGGGAUCGUAUUUUAGGAAAGUUUAAGGGCUCCCCUUUUAAUGGUAAAUGGAGAGCCCUCCCCAUUUAGCUUUUAACUUUUAUUUAAUCAGAGUUCAUUUCUUUAAUUUUUUUCCGAGGUUGAGUUCUGCACUCACACUUGUGCCCGUGGUGGUUCUGAAAUGUUCAGCAUUGCUAGAAACAAGGACCAGUCUUCUCUGCAUGUGUCACGCAAGAUCAAAUCUUAACCAACACCAACCACCACACACACUGGAUCAGAAUUCUGAUUGGAACGAAGCUGGCAUGAUGCUGCAACCUGAUACGAAGUCAGUGUGGAAGCACGGUUCCUCGCGUGCCUUUAUCAUUCCAAUAAUAGCUCUCAGCUCGUGCUGCUCGAUGAAUUUCUUCAUACAUGAACUAUCCUUCUGAAAACUUUGUAGGCAACGAAAUCCAGGUUCACCCGUUAUAUAAAAAAAAAGAAUUGUCCUUCCAUUUUUCAUCACAAAGAGUAGAAAUGAAACACCAUCAGUCAACUCUAUUUGUUCAAAUUCAGUUCUUUCAUAUUCUUUUGUUUAUUAUGAUAGGAAAAACAUAAUAUCCUACAGCUGUUGAGAUUUCUAACAUAACCGAAAAUAAAAUUGGAAAUUAAGAGAAUGGCUUCCAAACCACAAACGGUGAUGGAGCCUUAAGCAAUGUCUAUCUUGGGCAGUGUUUCCAUACAUCAUAAAAAGGUUAUCGUCCCUCUAUAUUUGUGAGAGUAAGGGAAUUCAUGGAAUUUUCAGUUCUGUCCCUAAUUUGCUCCAGAUCACUGCUCCUCUGUCCAU